This 567-nucleotide long non-coding RNA is filed under the name Nicotiana tabacum (common tobacco). Its description in RNAcentral is "long non-coding RNA (NTAB_LNC018752)". The record is from RNAcentral. Lineage: Eukaryota; Viridiplantae; Streptophyta; Magnoliopsida; Solanales; Solanaceae.
CAAGAUGGCCAAAAGUCUACUCCGCGAUGCCCUUUCCUUUCGAAUCGACCUCCUCGCGCGUCGAAUCUUGCCAAAACCACAAGGAAUAUAUUACAAUAGGCUAAGGGAAUAUAACCCAAUCAAAAAGACUCAAAAAAUAUCGAAAAUCACGAAAUUUGCAAAACUCGAGCCCCGGACCCACUUCUCGAAAAAUUACGAAAGUCACAUCACCGGUUUCCUCGUCUUGCCACGAGUCCGUACAUAUAAAAUUUACCAAAAUCAGAGUUCAUUUGACCCCUCAAAUCACCAAAUCUUAUUUUCAAAUCCCUAGGCCUAAAUCCUCAAUUUUUUCUACAAUUUUCAUGCUCAAAUCCAUACAUAAUUGAUGUACUUAACUCAAAAUAGGUGGGGAUAACUUACCUUUACAUUGAUGAUGAAAAUCCCCUCUUGAAGCUCCCCAAAAAUCAUCCAUACUUUGAAGAAAUGAAGAAAAGUGAGCUAAAUCCGUGUAUAAAAGAAUCUGUCUGUGCUUCGUCGAGUUGUACCUUGCACUUGUGCUAUACAAGUUGUACAUCUUAUUAAAAUUGU